This 468-nucleotide ribosomal RNA is filed under the name uncultured bacterium. Its description in RNAcentral is "bacterial SSU rRNA". It matches the Rfam family "Bacterial small subunit ribosomal RNA", at positions 58 to 521 of the family's 1533-position model. The record is from RNAcentral.
CAAGUCGAACGGCAGCACGGAGCUUGCUCUGGUGGCGAGUGGCGAACGGGUGAGUAAUAUAUCGGAACGUACCCAGGAGUGGGGGAUAACGUAGCGAAAGUUACGCUAAUACCGCAUACGUCCUAAGGGAGAAAGUGGGGGAUCGCAAGACCUCAUGCUCAUGGAGCGGCCGAUAUCUGAUUAGCUAGUUGGUGAGGUAAAGGCUCACCAAGGCAACGAUCAGUAGCUGGUCUGAGAGGACGACCAGCCACACUGGAACUGAGACACGGUCCAGACUCCUACGGGAGGCAGCAGUGGGGAAUUUUGGACAAUGGGGGCAACCCUGAUCCAGCAAUGCCGCGUGAGUGAAGAAGGCCUUCGGGUUGUAAAGCUCUUUUGUCAGGGAAGAAAAGGGUGCGGCUAAUAUCUGCGCCUCAUGACGGUACCUGAAGAAUAAGCACCGGCUAACUACGUGCCAGCAGCCGCGGU